UACGAAGGGGGCUAGCGUUGUUCGGAUUUACUGGGCGUAAAGCGCACGUAGGCGGAUCGUUAAGUCGGGGGUGAAAUCCUGGAGCUCAACUCCAGAACUGCCUUCGAUACUGGCGAUCUCGAGUCCGGAAGAGGUGAGUGGAACUCCUAGUGUAGAGGUGGAAUUCGUAGAUAUUAGGAAGAACACCAGUGGCGAAGGCGACUCACUGGUCCGGUACUGACGCUGAGGUGCGAAAGCGAGGGGAGCAAACGGG
RNAcentral lists this ribosomal RNA (253 nucleotides) under uncultured bacterium. RNAcentral describes it as "partial 16S ribosomal RNA". It matches the Rfam family "Bacterial small subunit ribosomal RNA", at positions 524 to 776 of the family's 1533-position model. The record is from RNAcentral.